This 1939-nucleotide ribosomal RNA is filed under the name Triticum aestivum (bread wheat). Its description in RNAcentral is "partial small subunit ribosomal RNA". Lineage: Eukaryota; Viridiplantae; Streptophyta; Magnoliopsida; Poales; Poaceae. The record is from RNAcentral.
CCCGCAGCCGCAGUACGACUCCAAAGCUACAACUACCUUUUUGAACUCCUCGCAAGUCACCCACCGGCCAAUACCGAGACCAACCUGAGAGGGAGAGGGAGAGGGAGAGAUGGUUGGGGGAGGAGGGGGAGGGGCGCUGCGGCGUGUGGGCAAGUACGAGGUGGGGCGGACCAUCGGGGAGGGGACGUUCGCCAAGGUCAAGUUCGCGCAGAACACGGAGACAGGGGAGAGCGUCGCCAUGAAGGUGCUCGAUCGCUCCUCCAUCCUCAAGCACAAGAUGGUGGAUCAGAUCAAGAGAGAGAUAUCCAUAAUGAAGCUCGUGAGGCAUCCCAAUGUGGUCAGAUUACAUGAGGUUUUGGCGAGCCGAAAGAAGAUAUUUAUAAUCUUGGAGUUCAUCACUGGUGGUGAACUAUUUGACAAAAUUAUUCGUCAUGGGAGACUCAGUGAAGCGGAUGCACGUAAAUACUUUCAGCAGCUUAUUGAUGGUGUUGAUUUUUGCCACAGCAAAGGAGUCUACCAUCGAGAUCUAAAGCCUGAAAAUCUUCUCCUUGAUUCCCAAGGAAAUCUUAAAAUUUCAGACUUUGGACUCAGUGCAUGGCCUGCACAGGGAGCUGCCCUUCUACGCACUACCUGUGGAACCCCAAACUAUGUUGCCCCAGAGGUUCUUAGUCAUAAAGGAUAUGAUGGAGCACUUGCUGAUACAUGGUCAUGUGGAGUUAUUCUAUAUGUCCUGUUGGCAGGUUAUCUUCCCUUCGAUGAAGUAGAUUUGACUACCCUUUAUGGGAAGAUUGAGACCGCAGAAUAUUCAUUCCCAGCUGUGUUUCCAAGUGGUGCUAAGUCACUGAUACGUAGAAUUCUGGAUCCUAGCCCAGAUACACGAAUCAGGAUAGAAGAGAUCAGAAAGGAUGAAUGGUUUAAGAAAGAUUAUGAACCUGUCAGGGAAGUAGAAAAUGAAGAAGUCAAUCUCGAUGAUGUUAAUGCAGCUUUUGAUGAUCCUGAGGAGGACAAUGAACAUACUUUUGACGAUGAAGCAGGCCCUUUGACGCUCAAUGCAUUCGAUCUAAUUAUUCUAUCUCAAGGGUUGAACCUUUCUGCCCUAUUUGAUCGCCGACAGGACUAUGGCAAGCUUCAAAAUAGAUUUUUAUCACGCAAACCAGCAAAUGUUAUAUUGUCAAGUAUGGAGGUUGUUGCUCAAUCCAUGGGGUUUAAGACACAUAUUCGCAAUUAUAAGAUGAGGGUGGAAGGUCCAAAUGCGAACAAGACUAGCCAUCUCACAAUUAUGCUUCAAAUUUUUGAAGUUGCCCCAUCAAUCUUUAUGGUGGAAUUAGAGAGAUCUGCUGGAGAUACUUCAGAUUAUAAUAAGUUCGUAAACAACUACUGCUCCAAAUUAGAUGAUAUCACCUGGAAAGUUUCUGCUGAGAAGGGAAAAUCUAGGACAUCCCGGCUAUCGAAGCGCUAAUUUAUGCACUUAUUACAAUUUAUCUGUGUGGGUUUGCUGCAGGUAUAAUGCGUAUUGCUGUUUUGUUUGGAUUACGUACAUCACGGGCUUGACUAAUGAGUGUACUAGUGCAGUUUAUCAUAAUUGAUCUAUGAUCUUUUAGUUAUAUACUACCCCGGACCUAAAACGUCUUAUAUUUGUUUACAGAGGGAGGGGGAGAUUGUGUUUAGUGCCAUGAUUGUAUACUACGACUAGUCGAGUCUGCUUGUACAAAGAGGUCCAUCUAGUAGUUCCGACAUGUCAGUUUUCAUGUACAGAAAUGUGUCAAACAAACUGUACUUCACUUGUCUCCGGGUUUGUUCGGGGAGUUGACAUAAUUGGUGUGACUUGUAUACUGCCAACAUUUGUUGCUUUCGUUCCAUUUCCACUCUUCAAUUUGGUAGCUUGCAUGACUCAUUAUCAACUGAUUAAGCAGCAUCACCUCAUUGGUGUUAUCGUGUG